AGCGAACGCUGGCGGUAGGCCUAACACAUGCAAGUCGAACGGCAGCACAGUAAGAGCUUGCUCUUACGGGUGGCGAGUGGCGGACGGGUGAGGAAUACAUCGGAAUCUACUUUUUCGUGGGGGAUAACGUAGGGAAACUUACGCUAAUACCGCAUACGACCUACGGGUGAAAGCAGGGGAUCUUCGCACCUUGCGCGAUUGAAUGAGCCGAUGUCGGAUUAGCUAGUUGGCGGGGUAAAGGCCCACCAAGGCGACGAUCCGUAGCUGGUCUGAGAGGAUGAUCAGCCACACUGGAGCUGGGACACGGUCCAGACUCCUACGGGAGGCAGCAGUGGGGAAUGUUGGACAAUGGGCGCAAGCCUGAUCCAGCCAUACCGCGUGGGUGAAGAAGGCCUUCGGGUUGUAAAGCCCUUUUGUUGGGAAAGAAAAGCAGCAGGUUAAUACCCCGCUGUUCUGACGGUACCCAAAGAAUAAGCACCGGCUAACUUCGUG
RNAcentral lists this ribosomal RNA (492 nucleotides) under uncultured bacterium. RNAcentral describes it as "partial 16S ribosomal RNA". It matches the Rfam family "Bacterial small subunit ribosomal RNA", at positions 29 to 507 of the family's 1533-position model. The record is from RNAcentral.